GACGUAGGGCGCAAGCGUUGUCCGGAUUUAUUGGGCGUAAAGAGCUCGUAGGCGGCCUGUCGCGUCGACCGUGAAAACCCGCAGCUCAACUGCGGGCUUGCGGUCGAUACGGGCAGACUAGAGUUCGGUAGGGGAGUCUGGAAUUCCUGGUGUAGCGGUGAAAUGCGCAGAUAUCAGGAGGAACACCGGUGGCGAAGGCGGGACUCUGGGCCGAUACUGACGCUGAGGAGCGAAAGCGUGGGGAGCAAACAGG
Molecule: ribosomal RNA, 253 nt
Filed under: uncultured bacterium
Lineage: Bacteria
Description: partial 16S ribosomal RNA
Rfam family: Bacterial small subunit ribosomal RNA
Source: RNAcentral